UACGGAGGGGGCAAGCGUUAUUCGGAUUUACUGGGCGUAAAGCGCACGUAGGCGGAUUGUUAAGUCAGAGGUGAAAUCCCGGAGCUCAACUCCGGAACUGCCUUUGAUACUGGCAAUCUAGAGUCCGGAAGAGGUGAGUGGAACUCCUAGUGUAGAGGUGGAAUUCGUAGAUAUUAGGAAGAACACCAGUGGCGAAGGCGGCUCACUGGUCCGGUACUGACGCUGAGGUGCGAAAGCGUGGGGAGCAAACAGGG
This 254-nucleotide ribosomal RNA is filed under the name uncultured bacterium. RNAcentral describes it as "partial 16S ribosomal RNA". It matches the Rfam family "Bacterial small subunit ribosomal RNA", at positions 524 to 777 of the family's 1533-position model. The record is from RNAcentral.